This 437-nucleotide ribosomal RNA is filed under the name uncultured Dehalococcoidia bacterium. RNAcentral's name for it is "bacterial SSU rRNA". It matches the Rfam family "Bacterial small subunit ribosomal RNA", at positions 342 to 795 of the family's 1533-position model. The record is from RNAcentral. Lineage: Bacteria; Bacillati; Chloroflexota; Dehalococcoidia.
CGGGUGGCUGCAGCAAGGAAUAUUGCGCAAUGGGCGAAAGCCUGACGCAGCGACACCGCGUGGGGGAUGAAGGCCUUCGGGUUGUAAACCCCUUUUAUCAGGGAAGAAUAAUGACGGUACCUGAUGAAUAAGUCUCGGCUAACUACGUGCCAGCAGCCGCGGUAAUACGUAGGAGGCGAGCGUUAUCCGGAUUUACUGGGCGUAAAGAGCGCGUAGGUGGCUCUUCAAGUCGGAUGUAAAAUCUCCCGGCUCAACUGGGAGGGACCAUUCGAUACUGUCGGGCUAGAGGGCAGCAGAGGGAGGUGGAAUUCCCGGUGUAGUGGUGAAAUGCGUAGAUAUCGGGAGGAACACCAGUGGCGAAGGCGGCCUCCUGGGCUGUACCUGACACUGAGGCGCGAAAGCGUGGGGAGCGAACAGGAUUAGAUACCCCGGUAGUC